Long non-coding RNA from Ctenopharyngodon idella (grass carp), 7413 nucleotides. RefSeq lists it as uncharacterized. The record is from RefSeq and is a predicted model, not a curated record. NCBI's taxonomy places the organism in Eukaryota, Metazoa, Chordata, Actinopteri, Cypriniformes, Xenocyprididae. The transcript has 4 exons.
UGAGUGGUCAUGCGCAGUUCUACCUGUAGGUGGAGGCAAUUUGCAACGUAUUCUGAGGGGAGAAGCACAUGGAACGAUCAAUGCAGAGUUCAAUCACAUCACAAUCAGAAGCCUCAAUCAAGAAUUCUUCUCAGCGCUUUAUCAACUUGCAGCUUGAUUUUCGGAAAUUUGUGCAACAAAGAAAGUGGCAGUUGAAAAGAGAGUUUCUUGCGCAAAUUAAAUCUAUGCACCGUCAUCACUGCUAAGUGCACAGUUCUUCAUGGCCUUCCUCUUAUUCUUGGAGAAGAAACCUCUGAUUUUUUUAAACAGUGCUGACAGGACUGUGAUUGUGACACACCCUUCUUGGGGAUUCUGACCGUGAUAACAGAGGACAGCCAGGAUUCUUCCUCCACAAGAACUACAUUUGGAGUCUUCAUGCACAGCAUUAUUCUAGACUGAGCCAUUGUCAUGGAUGAACUUGAAAACCUUCCAGGUGCCAUGUGACUAAUUUUAGGGCUGAUAUGUGCCAAAUUUGGAGUUUUUCUUUCCCUUGGACACAAUUCUCUGAAACCAAAACUAUAUUCACUUAAAACCCUUCUGUUGAUGUAAGCAAAGGCUGUUUGAGAUCGUUAAAGGCUUAGUUCACCCAAAAAUGUAAAUUCUGUCAUCAGUUUUUCACUCUCAUGUUGUUUGACUUUGGUUCCCAUUCAGUCGGUCACGUUCGACGUACGUCGGACAGACCGACGAAUAGGAAUCUCGCUAGAGAGGCCAAUCUACUUCGAGUGUAACUACAACGAGCCAAUGCACAUUGGCAUGCAAUCAUAUGCAUCAGCUGCUCGCCUCGCAGCGCGGGUAUAUAACGAGCAGCAGGUGCGUUGCAUCUUCAGCUUUUCGCUUCGGAGCCGAACGGUGUUUGUUCCUGUUCUCUGCAAGCAAGUGUCUGCUAGAAGACGAGUCAAGCUUUUUGGUUGAACUUCUCUUUUUUUUCGAGUGCGGGCGAACAGCACAGCAGCGGGGUCAAAGUCCUCUCUUUAUUUUCUGUUUUUUGUUUCGUUUGCCAUUAUAGAGCAAAUAGCUGUUUUGACAGCGUCAGAAGGCUGUUCUCACGGCCGGUACGGUGCGCUUCGAGCGCUGAAAGCCGUUUUUACGGCUGGUAAGAGUGAGCGCCUUCAAAGAGAGAAAGAGCACACGACAGGCUGCACACAAUCCCUGUCUGUGUUGCGGCGGCCGUUCCCCUGCGUGCUUCAGCACUCUAAAAGAGUAAAGUCCCUAAAAGAGCUUACACAAAUAGAGCUUGCGUCUUUUUAAAGAUGACAUUCUAUUUGUGUGUUUCUGGAUGCGGUCGUUUCCUGUCCUCACUGACGGCCACGAUCACUGUUUCACAUGUCUGGGCGCGUGCUGAAACGAUGCUCGUGGGUGGUUCAUGUUUUCGUAUGAGAACAUGAUCACGUCGACACGCCGGUCGUGACUCUUCUUUCUCCGGGAAGCUUGAGUCCCCUCUGUUGUUGGCCAGCUGCCGCUUGUGUGUAAAAGCACAGCCGCGGGUCUGCCCGACACUCUGGGAGACCGCGGAGAUCAGCGAGAGCAAACCUCUCGCUCCUCUGCGUGUCGUGUGCCGUCGAGCUGUCUGGCUGCAGCGCGGGUUGUCACGGCAACCCAGCGCUCGCUCGGCGCUCUAGAUGCGCGGUCUCCUUGCCUAAUCUCCAUUGUAGCGCCCUCUCUGGUGCACCAGAAGAGGUCUACUUUGGUGAAAUGGCUUGGGUGUAUUGAGGUUGAGGGGUUCCUUCGGGGAACCAACCCCCUAGGGCCCCUCCCUCUAGCGCAUUACAUGCUGCGCAGCUUCUGGAUUGGAUUGCUGGUCCUUUUCAUAGGGGAACCUAGCAUUCCAUUUAGGGCUCCAGCUGAGGGUCAGAUGUCGAUUGCAGCAUCGGAGAGAGGGCUGUUAUGCUCUGGAAAUGAGGGUGACGCUGCCCACUGUAAUGGUGUGUGCUUAUGCUGACUCAGAUUCAGAGUUUACAGCCAUGCUUUCCCGGGUGUUCCGGAUGUGCAUGAAAAACUUGGCAGUAUGGAGCUAUAUUGGUGCCAUAAAUAUGGAAUGCCAAAAGUGCCAAAAUCUGCAUAAGUUUUUACUCUCUCACUACCCUUAUGGGUGGGGUGGCUGUUCACAGACCACACCCACCCUGCAUGUGAGGCCAAGGCACUCUUUAUGCAUGAGGGUAGUUCUGAGCCGGGGUUGAGCUGCGCUUGUUGACUAACCGUGAUCAAAGUCACGGCGCAGGCCUUCGGCCAGACGAUGUCCACCUCAGUGGUCCAGAAGCGCCCCCCUGGCUUACCUUGCUGAGGUGCAAGAGGUCGUCAAGCUAAACGCUUUCUCGACACUCCCAUCUCACAAGGUGGCCUUUUCGGUGACACUGUCGGGGACUGAGCCCAGCAGUUCUCCUCAGUUAGUGGCAGACCGGGGAGCCUCCCCCGACAAACCAUUGAGUUCCUCGUGGGCCCUCAGUCUGCUCAUCGCCAAGGGUGUCGUCCCCUGCAGAAUAAAAAAAAAAAACACUCCGGCCCAGUCUGCUCUACUGUGUCCGCUGCAGGAAGAUGACGCCUCCCGUCUCUGCUACUGUUUAAGUGGUUAGUGAAAAAUCACCCCUGAGACGGGUGACCCAGAGAUGGGUGGGGCUGCUCUCCCCCCCCCCCGGAGGAGGGCCGGGUGGUAAAUCCUGUUGGUUGGGUUUGUUUCUGUUCUCCCGCUGGUCCAACAGCCAGCGGUACCCAAAUUUUCAAAAAGAGAGCAGUUCCUCCAUCUCUGGGUCUGAAGAGGGCUUGGAGAGCAGUGGGAGGAGAAAAGCCUCACCACUCUCAUCCCCCUCUUCCUUCGCCAGAGGGCAGCAGCGUGCAGUCGAGAAGGCAGCAAAGCCUCUCCUGCGCCCCCUGCCCAACCGUGGAACCAGGUAGGUGUUGCACAGCACACUCUGACCCCGCUUCGGGCCGCCUCGCAGAGAGAGCCUCCCGAGCUGCGUCCCUGUGUUCCACCUCGCUGCCUCACUGCGGGUACGCCUGCGGUCCCUUUGAUCCCGCCUGUACGGUCUCUGUGAGCCUGGUUAGCGCUCCCCAGUCCGUCUCGCUGGCUCAUUCGGACCAUCGGGCUCGGCUAUGCGAUUCAGUUCGCCCGGCGUCCCCCCAAGUUCAGGGGUGUCCACCUCACUACAGUGAAGGCUGUCGAUGCCCGUGUCUUGCGUGCGGAGAUCACGGUCCUACUGGCGAAGGACGCGAUAGAGCCGGUCCCUCCAGCCGAUAUGAGGUCAGGGUUCUACAGUCCCUACUUCAUUGUACCCAAGAAAAGCGGUGGGUUACGACCGAUCCUGGAUCUGCGAGUUUUGAAUCGGAGCCUUCACAAGCUACCGUUCAAAAUGCUCACGCAGAAAUGCAUUUUCGAGUGCAUCCGUCCCCAGGAUUGGUUUGCAGCGAUCGACCUGAAGGACGCGUACUUUCAUGUUCGAUUCUUCCGCGACACAGGCCAUUCCUGCGUUUUUUGCGUUCGAAGGUCGAGCAUAUCAGUACAGAGUCUUACCCUUCGGGCUGGCCCUGUCUCCCCGCGUCUUCACGAAGGUCGUGGAGGGAUCCCUUGUUCCCAUGAGAGAACAGGGUGUUCGCAUCCUUAACUAUCUCGACGACUGGCUCAUUCUGGCACAGUCCCAGGAUCAGUGGUGCGAACACAGGGAUUUGGUGCUCAGACACCUCAGCCAGUUGGGUCUUCAGGUCAACUGGGAAAAGAGCAAACUCGCCCCGGUGCAGAGGAUCUCUUUUCUCGGUAUGGAGUUGGAUUCGGUCGAACAGAUAGCACGCCUCACAGAGGAAUGUGCUCAGUCGGUGUUGAACUGCCUGAAUACGUUUAACGGCAGGACAGCGGUUCCACUGAAAUUUUUUCAGAGGCUCCUUGGGCAUAUGGCAGCCGCAGCGGCAGUAACCCCGCUCGGUCUGCUUCAUAUGAGACCGCUUCAACACUGGCUCCACGGCCGGGUCCCGAGAUGGGCGUGGCAACGCGGCACGUUCCGGGUGGCAAUCACUCAGGAGUGCCGCCAAACCUUCAGCCCGUGGUCGGACCCCUUGUUUCUUCGGGCUGGAGUACCCCUAGAGCAGGUGUCCCGGCAUGCUAUGGUAUUCACAGAUGCCUCUGCCACAGGCUGGGGUGCCACGUACAACGGGCAUGCAGUGUCAGGGGUUGGACGGGCCCCCAUCUGCAUUGGCACAUCAACUGCCUCGAGUUGCUAGCGGUACGCCUUGCCCUGAGCCGCCUCAAAGGGCCGCUACGGGGCAAGCAUGUACUGGUCCGGACGGACAACACUGCGACCGUUGUGUACAUCUACCGUCAAGGUGGUCUACGCUCCCGUCGCAUGUCGCAACUCGCCCCCCAUCUCCUCCUCUGGAGUCAGAAGCAUCUGAGGUCGCUUCGUGCCAUUCAUAUUCCCGGUGUGCUCAACCGUGUGGCCGACGAGCUAUCACGAGCUGCGCGGCCAGGAGAGUGGCGACUCCACCCCCAGGUGGUCCAGCUGAUUUGGAGAGAGUUCGGAGAGGCUCAGGUAGACCUGUUUGCCUCACCAGAAACCUCCCAUUGCCGGUUGUUUUACUCCCUGUCCGGGGAACACUCGGAACAGACGCACUGGCGCUCAGCUGGCCCCGGGGCCUUCGCAAAUAUGCGUUUCCCCCAGUGAGCCUACUUGCACAGACCCUGUGCAAAGUCAGGGAGGACGAGGAGCAGGUUCUGCUAGUUGCGCCCUAUUGGCCCAACCGGACCUGGUUCCCAGAACUCUCACUCCUCGCGACAGCCCCUCCCUGGCCCAUUCCUCUGAGGAAGGACCUUCUUUCUCAGAGACGGGGCACUCUCUGGCACCCGCGUCCAGACCUCUGGAAACUCCAUGUCUGGUCCCUGGACGGGACGCGGAGGUUCUAGGUGACUUACCCCCCGAGGUACUUAACACCAUCGCUUCGGCACGUGCUCCGUCUACGAGACGGGCUUAUGCCUUGAAGUGGAACCUGUUCGUCGAGUGGUGUUCUUCUCGUCGAGAGGACCCCCGAAGAUGCUCGAUCGGUGUCGUGCUUUCCUUCUUGCAGCAGGGGUUGGAGCGUAGGCUGUCCCCCUCCACCCUCAAAGUUCAUACUGCUGCUAUCUCCGCAUAUCAUGACCACAUAGAUGGCAAAUCUGUUGGUCAGCACGACCUGGUCGUCAGGUUCCUUAGGGGGGCGAGGCGGUUAAAUCCUCCUCGUCCUCCCUCCAUACCCUCUUGGGACCUUGCUCUGGUGCUGAGAGCACUUCAGAUUGCUCCCUUUGAGCCCUUGCAAUCAGCAGACUUAAAGAUUCUGUCUAUGAAGACUUUGCUGCUGGUUGCAUUGGCCUCCAUCAAGAGGGUAGGGGACCUGCAGUCUUUUUCGGUCGACGAAUCGUGCCUGGAGUUCGGGCCGGGUGACGGCCAUGUGGUACUGAGACCCCGGCCUGGCUAUGUGCCCAAGGUUCCUACCACUCCCUUCAGGGACCAGGUAGUGAGCCUGCAAGCGCUGCCCUCGGAGGAGGCAGACCCAGCCCUGGCUUUGCUCUGUCCAGUUCGCGCUUUGCGACUGUACAUAGACAGAACUCAAAGCUUCAGGACCUCAGACCAGCUCUUUGUCUGUUACGGAGGCCAGCAGAAGGGAAAGGCUGUCUCCAAGCAGAGGAUGGCCCACUGGAUAGUGGAUGCCAUCGCCCUGGCUUACCAAGCUCAGGGCGUGCCCUGCCCGCUCAGGUUGCAUGCGCACUCCACGAGAGGCGUCGCAUCUUCCUGGGCGCUGGCUCGUGGCGCCUCGCUAACAGACAUCUGUAGAGCUGCGGGCUGGGCGACACCUAACACGUUCGCUAGAUUCUAUAGCCUUCGUGUCGAGCCGGUCUCCUCCCGUGUUCUCACCUCAGGUCAGAGGCACGGAGAGGCCCCGGCUUAGUGUCGGCUUGCUGCGCUUACAUGCGCUUUUUUCUCCAGAGAGUCCCUACAAGGCAGACCCUGUUGAGUCCUCCGAUCUCCCUUUCGGCAGCCGACGCGGCGGAACGUCUGGCGCUAGGCCUAUACUCCGUUGUAUCCUUGAGAACCGGGUUCAGGCUGGGUACCAUAUGUGUGACCCUACUGGGAUCCCAUAUGUCUAGUUCCACGGUUGCUCCUAAACGAAGCCCGUGUCUUUCCCUCUGGGAGAACCCACCUCUCAUCGAGUUGGAGUCACCCCAGUUCUUCCAUAUGUAGUACAGCCUACGGGUUAGUCCAUAUGUACUUCUCCACUUUACUCCUUCGGGAAGGAUGUGGCUUCCGCAGCGUUCCUUUCCCAGCGGAAGGGUACGCUUUCCCAGCGUUAUCCAAUAGUCUCACUGAAUGGGUUUUGGGGAACAGCAGUGAUCGACACUCUCUGUGUUAGCCCUGUCCCACCGUCCGUAGGCAAGGGGGUUCAGGUGGCUUACAACAGAGCGCUGGAAGAGGGCAGCCCCUGUGGCGCUUUGGUAGGGAUUCCUAUUCGUCGGUCUGUCCGACGUACGUCGAACGUGACCGACUGAAUGGGAACGUCUCGGUUACAAAGGUAACCCUCGUUCCCUGAAGGAGGGAACGGAGACGUACGUCCCGUCGCCACAGUCGCUGUACCCCGCUGAUGCUGCCGCCUAUCCGGUUCGGCUCCUCAGCGAAAAGCUGAAGAUGCAACGCACCUGCUGCUCGUUAUAUACCCGCGCUGCGAGGCGAGCAGCUGAUGCAUAUGAUUGCAUGCCAAUGUGCAUUGGCUCGUUGUAGUUACACUCGAAGUAGAUUGGCCUCUCUAGCGAGAUUCCUAUUCGUCGGUCUGUCCGACGUACGUCUCCGUUCCCUCCUUCAGGGAACGAGGGUUACCUUUGUAACCGAGACGUUAGUCUUUCAAACACAAAUUUAGAUAUUUGUAAAGAAAACAGGCUGGAAAAAACUUUUUGGAUCUUUUAAGUUUUGGUUACCUGGACUUUCAGUUGGAGGGACAGAAACCUCUCAGAUUUCAUUAAAAAUAUCUUCAUUUAUGUUUCAAAGUCUAACCAAAGUCUUAUGGGUUUGUGACGUCAUGAGGGUGAGUAAAUGAUGAGAGAAUUUCAUUUUUUGUGAACUAUCUCUUUAAUCUUGUGGUUGCACUAAAGUCAACACUCUUUUUAAUUAAAGUGUUAAAUUGUCACCUGCCAAAGUUUAAACUGUCAAAAUUAAGCUAACAUUGAUUUUUGUUUCAUGGUCAGCUAUUCAUUUUCUUGUCAAAAGACUGUUAGUAUUAUUGGUUUAUUCGUCAGUCAUGAUUUGUAAUCCAUAUUGUUACAUUAAUGAAAAAUGUUUAGAAUUUAGGGGUGCCAGAAUGGCAUUGUUUGGUACAUUGUAGUGUCUCAAGAAAAUUGAUGAGCAAUAAAUAAUGUUUUGUCUAAGA